GAUGAAGAACGUAGCGAAAUGCGAUAAGUAAUGUGAAUUGCAGAAUUCAGUGAAUCAUCGAAUCUUUGAACGCACCUUGCGCUCCUUGGUAUUCCGAGGAGCAUGCCUGUUUGAGUGUCAUUAAAUUCUCAACCUCACCAGUUUUGUAACGAGACAGGUGAAGGCUUGGAUGUGGGGGUUUUGCAGGCUGCCUCAGUGCUGGUCUGCUCUCCUGAAAUGCAUUAGCGAGCUCAUAUUGAGCUUCCGUCUAUUGGUGUGAUAAUUAUCUACGCCGUGGAUUGGACUCAUGCUUGCUUCUAACCGUCCGCAAGGACAAUUUACUUGACCAAUUUGACCUCAAAUCAGGUAGGACUACCCGCUGAACUUUAGCAUAUCAAUAAGCGGAGGA
RNAcentral lists this unclassified non-coding RNA (388 nucleotides) under soil metagenome. Its description in RNAcentral is "partial contains 5.8S ribosomal RNA, internal transcribed spacer 2, and large subunit ribosomal RNA". The stretch from base 1 to 120 matches the Rfam family "5.8S ribosomal RNA", at positions 35 to 154 of the family's 154-position model. The record is from RNAcentral.